CUAAGCAUUCGGGAUGCCCCUUGCUGGUCUUGUCUGAUCUUGGAAGCUAAACAGGAUCUGGCCUAGUUAGUGCUCAGAUGGGAGACCACCUGGUAAUGCCAGGUAGU
Molecule: ribosomal RNA, 107 nt
Filed under: Salvator merianae (Argentine black and white tegu)
Lineage: Eukaryota; Metazoa; Chordata; Lepidosauria; Squamata; Teiidae
Source: RNAcentral